CCUACGGGGUGCAGCAGUAGGGAAUAUUGCUCAAUGGGGGAAACCCUGAAGCAGCAACGCCGCGUGGAGGAUGAAGGUUUUCGGAUUGUAAACUCCUUUUGUUAGAGAAGAUAAUGACGGUAUCUAACGAAUAAGCACCGACUAACUCCGUGCCAGCAGCGGCGGUAAUACGGUGGGUGCAAGCGUUACUCGGAAUCACUGGUGGUAAAGAGCGCGUAGGCGGGAUAGCAAGUCAGAUGUGAAAUCCUAUGGCUUAACCAUAGAACUGCAUUUGAAACUGUUAUUCUAGAGUAUGGGAGAGGGAGGUGGUAUUCUUGGUGUGGGGGUAAAUGCCGAGGAGAUAAAGAGGAAUACUCAUUG
Molecule: ribosomal RNA, 360 nt
Filed under: uncultured bacterium
Lineage: Bacteria
Description: partial 16S ribosomal RNA
Rfam family: Bacterial small subunit ribosomal RNA
Source: RNAcentral